Long non-coding RNA from Cynoglossus semilaevis (tongue sole), 2459 nucleotides. RefSeq lists it as uncharacterized. The record is from RefSeq and is a predicted model, not a curated record. The transcript has 3 exons. Lineage: Eukaryota; Metazoa; Chordata; Actinopteri; Pleuronectiformes; Cynoglossidae.
UCUUGUUUAUUUUUUUCAUUUAAGUCAAUUUCCUCGGUGGUGGGUGUUUCAUGGUGCUGCUGGUGGCAUUGUUUCCUGCAGGCACUCUUGUGGAAACAGAUGGUGGAUGGCGGCGGCAGCGGCAGCUGGAGGACGGCGACCACUCACCCACGCCCUCAUUAAUUUGUUCAGUUGUCCAUUCAUGCAGCAACGUGAAGCAGCUGAAGGGGUCGCUGCUCAGUUUAAAAUCUCACAGCCGUCUCCUUUGUUCGGAGCUUUCCGUGUCUUCCACUCCGUGCUGUUUUCCAUGGACCAGACUCCAGUGUCUCUCCGACAGAUGCUGCUCUCCGCCUCGCAGCGACGGAGGACGACAUCGUGUUUCUGUGUGUUAUCCCACUGCAAAUGGUCAAUCUGCUCAACAUUGAUCACGUAAAGGCAGGACUCUACUCUUUGGUGGUUAACGCAAAGAAGAGGAGGAGAAAAUGAAAAGGACGUGGUUGUUUUUUUUUACUACUGCAAGACAGGUAACCCUCUGUGUCACUGUUCAUGUACAGUGCGGCUAAUCUGUCACUUUUCUGGAGAUUUUGGGAAAGUCCAGCUGGGAGUCAACAGCAACACAGGUUAAGUAUUCUGACUGAAUUGCAUCUUUUACUAUGAAAAAUUUGUUUUCAAAGGCACACAGUAUUAUCUGGAGAAUUUACAGAUUAGAGAAAAAUGUUAGUAUUAGGGGCAGUGGUGGCUUAGUGGUUAAGGAAGCAGACUUGGGUCCAGAAGACUUCAAGUUUGAGUCCUGAGGUGCUUUGAGCAUGUCACUGUCCCCACACACUGCUCCCAGGGUGCUCAAAGCUGUCCACUGUUCACUUUGGUGACGGGUUAAAAGCAGAGGUCACAUUUGGUUGUGAAUGCAGUGGUGAGCUGUGACACAAUGACAAGGAGAUCACUUUCCACUUUUUCCCAAGGGUUCAAAGUUGUUUAAUAUAUUUUUAAUUUAAAAGCUGUAGCAAUGAAACAGAAUGACAGGCAUUGUCUGGAGGGCUGCAGAGAACAGUUGUGUUGCGUCCCUCUCUCCUGUUCUUCUGUGUCUUGUGUUCCUCUGCAGUUACUCUGAUGAAAACAACAGAGUGGGACUCACAGCUGACUGCAUUGUUCACCUGGCCACAGUGAACCAUCACCUUCUGCUCUGCCACCGCUGACAGUGAUAAAGUGAUACCUGCACUGCUUUCCUGUAACCGAAGAAACAAAAAAUCCACGGGGAAGUGACUAACCACUCUGAGAGGAUUUUUACCUGUUUAAUGGAAUUGUCAGUGGAAUUUUAGUCAUUAGAUUAUUGUUACCCCCUGUCCCCCAACUUUAUCUGUGUGUAUUGCUCUUGUGUAAUAGAUCGUCAUCCACUCCCACUGUCACUUUCCAGCUCAGGAAAAACAGUGACACCACAACUACUGAACACGUCACGCUUGCUCGUUGCAUUCACCCCUCUCCAUUGUUACCUUGGUUACCAGCUCUCACACUUUAAAUUAAAAAAAUAAUAAUUUCAGGAGUGGUAGUGUUUUAUGUUGAACAAGUACUGGAAGUCUUUGGAAUUAAAACUAUCAUGUUUGAGAAAGUAAUUAAUAAGUGAAGACGACAAGUAGAGCGUGUUGUUAAAACUGAAAGUCAUAAGGAGAAAGCUGACUGUUUGUGUGAAAGCAUAUAUAUUUUAAUCUGAUUGGACAGUGAAAAAAAUAUUCUUACUCUUUUCACUUUCAUGUUUGGGUAUGAGUGUAUGCAUAUCCCUGUAUCUGUGUGUGUUUGUACCCCCAGAGGUGCAUGUAUAUAAUCUGUGUUCCAGAAAUGUCUUUCUACCAGGCCUGAAGUUCUCUAACCAUUUUACUCACACCAUAAAAUGUCAAAAACUGCAUUUUUAGGACCGUCCUAUAACUAGACAGUGAUAAAAGAUUUUUUGCACAUAAUUCUGAGUGUUUUUUACAUAAUUUCAAGUACAAUUUGAUUGAUUACUUAACUACAGGAACAGAGGAUAUUAGUUAUACCAUUAUUAAUAUCAAUUGUCAUUUCCUAAAUGCUGCUUGUUGCCAGUAAUUAACUUACCUUGAUUUAUUGCCUUCAGUAUCUGACACUUCAGCAAAUUAAAUCAAAGGCUUAUAAUUAUGUGCAAAUAGCUUUUGACUCAGGUCUGGACUGUACUAACACAUUCUGACUAAUAUUUAACAAUACUAACGUCUGACUAACAUUUCUUCUGAAUGCUGACGGCUGGUCUGGUCCUCUCUAACCUACAAACUAACACUCAGAUUCAUGCACACACACAUCACUCUCUCAUGAUCCUGAACACCUCAAGAAAAACAUAAACCCUCCGUAAGCAGUGUUUCUAGAACUCAGUACCUGGGCCCCUUAGUGUCAGAAACUUAGUGUUUCCCCUGUAUUUGACUACAUCAGUAUCAACAAUCUAAUACACAGCUCAAAUUGGUUUUCUAAAAAAAAAAAAA